AUGGCCUUCAUCAGAGUUCAUACCAUGAGGCUUGACUAUAAGUAUUAGCCUAUCUCUUCAUAGUUACAUACAAACCCGCCAUUAAAAGAAGUCAUUUUGUUAUCUCAAGCUUACUCCUCUUAAUAAUUAAACAUCAAUUGAAAACUGAUUAUAGAUAUAUAUACAAGUUAAUAUCUAAAAUGAAUCCAGAAGAAAAAAAAAAUCUCGAUUUCAUCACAGCAACUCUAGAUGGUUUGAAAAUUGACAAUGAUGAACCGAAUAUUGACAAAAAAGUUGAAGAGUGUUGAAGAAUUAGAAUACCAAAUAGAGGAGCUCCAAAAUAACUUGGAAUUUCAUAAAAGUAAUGUAAAAAAUUUCAACGAAAAUAAAUAUAAAUUUGUCGAGCUAGUGGUUAGAGGACGUGGACUUGGACGUGGUCGUGGAUAUCGA
Molecule: long non-coding RNA, 429 nt
Organism: Microplitis demolitor
Lineage: Eukaryota; Metazoa; Arthropoda; Insecta; Hymenoptera; Braconidae
Exons: 3
Source: RefSeq, a predicted model, not a curated record